This is a long non-coding RNA of Fundulus heteroclitus (mummichog), 387 nucleotides long. RefSeq lists it as uncharacterized. The record is from RefSeq and is a predicted model, not a curated record. The transcript has 2 exons. NCBI's taxonomy places the organism in Eukaryota, Metazoa, Chordata, Actinopteri, Cyprinodontiformes, Fundulidae.
CCUCAGACGUGGUCUGAAUCUGAGAGAGGCCAGCAGAGAGAGACCCCCCGACGGCAUUUCUCGGCGUUAACGUGGUCGUGCAGUGGGCGUCUCCAGAUCGGGAAUAAUAAUGGACUAACAGUCUUCUUCUGCUGUUUCAGUUUGAUCGCCGCUCUGGCUUCUCGGGGAGCUGAAAGAAGAUGAGCCCCUUCUCCUCGGCAGAGGGGGGGUUUGCUGCUGCUGCUGCUGUGUGGGGGAGUGGGCUACAUCCUGUGGCGUUUCCUGUGUUUGUAAACUAGACGGUACAGCAAAAAAAAAAAAUACGUCGCCGAGCAAAGCUGUUUUUAGUACUAGAUGAGUGAGGUGGGUGUGGCUUCCCACCAGCCCGACCAUCCUGACUGACGGAUC